AUGGGCGCAAGCCUGAACCAGCCAUGCCGCGUGCAGGAUGACGGUCCUAUGGAUUGUAAACUGCUUUUGUACGAGAAGAAACACUGAUUCGUGAAUCAGCUUGACGGUAUCGUAAGAAUAAGGAUCGGCUAACUCCGUGCCAGCAGCCGCGGUAAUACGGAGGAUCCAAGCGUUAUCCGGAAUCAUUGGGUUUAAAGGGUCCGUAGGCGGUCUUGUAAGUCAGUGGUGAAAGCCCAUCGCUCAACGAUGGAACGGCCAUUGAUACUGCAGGACUUGAAUUAUUGGGAAGUAACUAGAAUAUGUAGUGUAGCGGUGAAAUGCUUAGAGAUUACAUGGAAUACCAAUUGCGAAGGCAGGUUACUACCAAUUGAUUGACGCUGAUGGACGAAAGCGUGGGUAGCGAACAGGAUUAGAUACCCUGGUAGUCCACGCCGUAAACGAUGGAUACUAGCUGUUGGGCGCAAGUUCAGUGGCUAAGCGAAAGUGAUAAGUAUCCCACCUGGG
Molecule: ribosomal RNA, 504 nt
Filed under: Flavobacterium sp. GNCB-6
Lineage: Bacteria; Pseudomonadati; Bacteroidota; Flavobacteriia; Flavobacteriales; Flavobacteriaceae
Description: bacterial SSU rRNA
Rfam family: Bacterial small subunit ribosomal RNA
Source: RNAcentral